UAUUGUUAUUCCUCCUAUGGAGUUG
This 25-nucleotide unclassified non-coding RNA is filed under the name Mus musculus (house mouse). RNAcentral describes it as "oocyte_clustered_small_RNA13182". The record is from RNAcentral. Lineage: Eukaryota; Metazoa; Chordata; Mammalia; Rodentia; Muridae.